AGAGUUUGAUCCUGGCUCAGAUUGAACGCUGAGCGGCAUGCUCAAGCACAGUAGCAAGUCGAACGGCAGCAUGAUAUGUAGCAGAUACAUAUCCGAUGGCGAGUGGCGGACGGGUGAGUAAUACAUAGGAGAAUCUGCCCUAUAGUGGGGGACAACCCGGGGAAACCCGGGCUAAUACCGCAUAAUCAUUACGAUGAAAAGUUGGGGGACCGUAAGGCCUCACGCUAAAGGAUGAGCCUAUGUCAGAUUAGCUUGGUUGGUGGGGUAAAGGCCCACCAAGGCCAAUGAUCUGUAGCUGGUUCUGACAGGACGACCAGCCACACUGGGACUGAGACACGGCCCAGACUCCUACGGGAGGCAGCAGUGGGGAAUAUGGGACAAUGGGGGCAACCCUGAUCCAGCAAUGCCGCGUGUGUGAAGAAGGCCUUCGGGUUGUAAA
RNAcentral lists this ribosomal RNA (439 nucleotides) under uncultured bacterium. Its description in RNAcentral is "bacterial SSU rRNA". It matches the Rfam family "Bacterial small subunit ribosomal RNA", at positions 8 to 429 of the family's 1533-position model. The record is from RNAcentral.